UACGUAGGGGGCAAGCGUUAUCCGGAUUUACUGGGUGUAAAGGGAGCGUAGACGGUAACGUAAGUCUGAUGUGAAAGCCCGGGGCUCAACCCCGGGACUGCAUUGGAAACUAUGUAACUAGAGUACCGGAGAGGUAAGCGGAAUUCCUAGUGUAGCGGUGAAAUGCGUAGAUAUUAGGAGGAACACCAGUGGCGAAGGCGGCUUACUGGACGGAAACUGACGUUGAGGCUCGAAAGCGUGGGGAGCAAACAGG
RNAcentral lists this ribosomal RNA (253 nucleotides) under uncultured bacterium. RNAcentral's name for it is "partial 16S ribosomal RNA". It matches the Rfam family "Bacterial small subunit ribosomal RNA", at positions 524 to 776 of the family's 1533-position model. The record is from RNAcentral.